UACGGAGGGUGCAAGCGUUAAUCGGAAUUACUGGGCGUAAAGCGUGCGCAGGCGGUUUGUUAAGUCCGCUGUGAAAUCCCCGAGCUCAACUUGGGAAUUGCAGUGGAUACUGGCAAGCUGGAGUAUGGUAGAGGAAGGUGGAAUUCCCGGUGUAGCAGUGAAAUGCGUAGAGAUCGGGAGGAACACCAGUGGCGAAGGCGGCAUCCUGGACCGGCAUUGACGCUGAGUGAGCGAAAGCCAGGGGAGCAAACGGG
Molecule: ribosomal RNA, 254 nt
Filed under: uncultured bacterium
Lineage: Bacteria
Description: partial 16S ribosomal RNA
Rfam family: Bacterial small subunit ribosomal RNA
Source: RNAcentral